Molecule: ribosomal RNA, 381 nt
Filed under: uncultured bacterium
Lineage: Bacteria
Description: bacterial SSU rRNA
Rfam family: Bacterial small subunit ribosomal RNA
Source: RNAcentral
CCCGACCGACGAUCGGAGAGGAUUUUUCUCGUAAGAGACCAGGAGACAGGUGCUGCAUGGCUGUCGUCAGCUCGUGUCGUGAGAUGUUCGGUUAAGUCCGGCAACGAGCGCAACCCACGUCCCUAGUUGCCAGCAUUCAGUUGGGCACUCUAUGGAAACUGCCGAUGAUAAGUCGGAGGAAGGUGUGGAUGACGUCAAGUCCUCAUGGCCCUUACGGGUUGGGCUACACACGUGCUACAAUGGUGGUGACAGUGGGUUAAUCCCAAAAAACCAUCUCAGUUCGGAUUGUCCUCUGCAACUCGAGGGCAUGAAGUUGGAAUCGCUAGUAAUCGCGGAACAGCAUGCCGCGGUGAAUACGUUCCCGGGCCUUGUACACACCGA